This 332-nucleotide long non-coding RNA is filed under the name Bos taurus (domestic cattle). RNAcentral's name for it is "long non-coding RNA NONBTAT014111". Lineage: Eukaryota; Metazoa; Chordata; Mammalia; Artiodactyla; Bovidae. The record is from RNAcentral.
GACAAUCCUUUAUCCCAAAAAAACCUGAAUUUCAGUAGAAUAUUUAGAGGCUGUAGUUUUACUAUUCAACUAAUCUAUUGUUUUCAGUCAAAGCAUGGCACAACGUAUUUUUAUUGACCAGAAUUAUAUACCCCAUGCAUUAGGAUUUUUUCUUAAUGCCAUAGUAAUUUUCUUCCCUGUUUUUCCUGUGCUAAUUUCUACAGCUGGAUUGACUUGUCAUCUUGAAAUCUAAAUAUUAAAGAGAACUAAGAUGGUUUAUACAAAGCAAGAAAGUGUACUUUAAAAAUGCUGAAUCAAAUUUUUAAAACACAGGAGUCAAAAAUUUGCUUUGC